Long non-coding RNA from Amphiprion ocellaris (clown anemonefish), 2637 nucleotides. RefSeq lists it as uncharacterized. The record is from RefSeq and is a predicted model, not a curated record. The transcript has 3 exons. NCBI's taxonomy places the organism in Eukaryota, Metazoa, Chordata, Actinopteri, Pomacentridae.
UUGUGGUCUUUCUGUUUCUAGGUGGAAGCUGAAUUAGUGAGGAUGACUCCUGCUCCUGUCAUCUCUAAGCUCCUCACACAUCUUUACCUGCACAUGAGGAAAAUCACUCCUGUAGAAUGCAGAUGUUCAGAGGGAGAUGAUGCCACAUCUGGUCCAGCUGAUGGAAGGUCUUGAAGUUCUCUGACUGGCCUCGACUGAAGAUGGUCGUCUCACUGGAUUUAAGGUUCAGAUGCUCAGUAACAAACUCCACCAAUGAGCCAACAGGGAAGCUUUAGGUUUAUUAAAUGUUGCUAUGAAGGUUUCGCUGUUUUUCUUUGUGAAUGCAAUGUGCUCCAACUGAAACUUGAAUUAGAACUUAGAAGUAAAUCCUUCCAUCUGAAAGGAUUUAGUUGCAUUAAUAACCUCAUAACAUUCUAAUUUUUAUUCCAGUCUUAGUUGGAAAUAGAAUCUCUGUAUUGAUUCAGGUAAAAACUGAACUUCACAGCAUGUUGGAGCAAAACAACCAGAUGAAAACUGUGAUGGUGUUGGAUUGUCAGACCGUAAUGUUGCAGCUCAAAGCAGCUUUUCUAUCUCAGUUCAUUCUGACAUUCAGCUAUGAAUCAACACAGCAGAUGGUGAUCCAUGCUGUGGAAGUCUCACAUCUCCUGAUUUAAUGGAGCUGCUUUGCACUUUUUACACUGUUUAUUCACCAACACUUUAUUUAAUAAAAGUCCCAUCUAGUUUUUAUGAGGAAUGUGAUGUUUUAAUUUCUCUGUGAAUAACUGCAGUCUAAUGUAACAGCUGGAAUUAUAACAUCUGUCCUGAUAUUGAUCAUGAAGUAUUGAUCAGAAUACUUAUGGUUAGCAGUCAUCCCUGAAGUUUUACAUUCAAAUCUUUACUUGUGUUGUGAACUUUGGUAAGAAGCAGAAACUUUUGCGUUGCCAUGGAUACAUGAGUGUUAAAUUCUGUCCAUGUUUCCAUUGUGGGAAAUGCAGUCCAGUUCCAGAAUGUGGAGGAAUUUAGUCUCACAAUCACAGACAACAAAUAUUAUCUGAAAGUUGGGUUAUUGUUGUUUAUCAGCACAAUACAAAAAUAUUAAUGUUAGAAAUAUUCCAGUUAAGACUCUAGAAUAUCAUGAUUUAUGUAAAUUUACCUCAGUAAUAUGAAUGUUCAGGUUAAGAUUGUACAGUGAUAUUUAUUAUGCAAGUUUAGCUGAUUAAAGUUUAUGACUCUGCACUAAAAUAUUAUUUAAAUUGACAUCAUUAUUAUAAUAUUUAGGGUCAGACCCUACAGUAUUGAGAUUAAGAAAUCAAAUAUUCUAUAAAAUGUAAAUACACUGAACUCAUUUGGAUAUAUUUAAGUGAGACUCUACAAUAUUAUUUGACACAAAUCUAUCUAAAUCAAAAUUUUAAUAAUUUUCACGCCAAACAUUUACUGGACUGAUUUAAAUAUUAAAAUCACUCCUUUCUAAUCCUCUGCUGUACGUUCAAACCUGAGGCCUUAAAUAGAAGCACACAAGUAUCUGAUUGAAGGAACUUCUGCAGAGUCCUGGUUCCAGAACAUGAUGAUAGAAUUAUAAAUAAACUUUAACAAAAGCUGCCUGAGAGUUUACAGGUUUUUAUGUUGGAUUUCUUCAGUAAUUUAAUGAGUUAUCAGCAAUAAUCAAGUGUUUAUUUGAUGAACUUCAUUUCCUAAAACAUCCAGAAUUGGAGCUCAUAUCUUUGGCAGCUGUAAAGUUUCUGCUCCUUCAAAGUUCACAACACAAUGAAUUAAUUCCUAAAACACUCUCAAUGCUGGAGAGCGUUUGUGAUGCUGAAGCAGUGACCAGUUUUUCUGUUUGUUCUCUGGAGAUGCACAAUGAGGGACUUCUGCAGAGACUGAGAAAGAGUCUCACCACAUCCUGACAUGAGGAAAAAGACUUUAUUGAAGACUACAAUGAGAAAAACUAUCAGACAGCAGACGGCAUGCAUUCAAGGUGAGCUCUGAACAUUUGAUCUGGAACAGGAAUUCAAUAACGGCAGCAUGAGCUUCAUUUCAGUCUGUAGCUGCUGAAUUCAUGGAUGAAUCAUCUGGCACUAGAGAAGAAGACCAUCAAACAUCCAUGUCAGCUGAUGGAGGUCCAAGAGUCUCACCCAACAAACAACCUACAGAGUGAAGACCUCAAAUCUGAUUGGACGGCCUCCUAUUCAGCCACAUUUUAGGCUGUUAGAUUGUUCCAGAUAAGACAAGUACAAGAUACUUCAGAGCCGUUCUACCACGAGCCUGACAGGAAGAACUCCAACAGCUACUGAAUGUUCCUGUGGUCCCCUCAAGGCUACAGGAGGAGCCCUACGAGGACGAGCCGGUCCACCUGAUGGAGGCCAGUCGCUGCGGUUCAAAGCCAACACCGACUACGUGGACUUCUACUGGACCACAUGGAGGCCUUCAAACCGGACCAACAAGUUCAGCGACUCCCCGACUUGUGGGUCUGAGGACGCCGCCGAGCCUCGGUCCAGCCGGCCUCCUGUCUGUGGAUGUUUGAGUGCUGAGAGGUUUGUGGAUGCAUGUGAACGUUCUGUGUUGAAACAGCAGCUUUGGACUCAGUAACGCCAGGAAAAACCAAGAGCUCCUUUAUUUGUGACUUCCACUAAAAAAACUGAUGAAAAUAAGUUUGCCAGG